CCUACGGGAGGCAGCAGUGGGGAAUAUUGCACAAUGGGCGCAAGCCUGAUGCAGCCAUGCCGCGUGUGUGAAGAAGGCCUUCGGGUUGUAAAGCACUUUCAGCGGGGAGGAAGGCGGUGAGGUUAAUAACCUCAUCGAUUGACGUUACCCGCAGAAGAAGCACCGGCUAACUCCGUGCCAGCAGCCGCGGUAAUACGGAGGGUGCAAGCGUUAAUCGGAAUUACUGGGCGUAAAGCGCACGCAGGCGGUCUGUCAAGUCGGAUGUGAAAUCCCCGGGCUCAACCUGGGAACUGCAUUCGAAACUGGCAGGCUAGAGUCUUGUAGAAGGGGGUAGAAUUCCAGGUGUAGCGGUGAAAUGCGUAGAGAUCUGGAGGAAUACCGGUGGCGAAGGCGGCCCCCUGGACAAAGACUGACGCUCAGGUGCGAAAGCGUGGGGAGCAGACAGGAUUAGAUACCCCUGUAGUC
Molecule: ribosomal RNA, 465 nt
Filed under: uncultured Klebsiella sp.
Lineage: Bacteria; Pseudomonadati; Pseudomonadota; Gammaproteobacteria; Enterobacterales; Enterobacteriaceae
Description: bacterial SSU rRNA
Rfam family: Bacterial small subunit ribosomal RNA
Source: RNAcentral